Molecule: non-coding RNA, 1315 nt
Organism: Cyanistes caeruleus (blue tit)
Lineage: Eukaryota; Metazoa; Chordata; Aves; Passeriformes; Paridae
Source: RefSeq, a predicted model, not a curated record
CCUCCCUGGGAAGGGUUUUCCUGGCUCCUCACCAUGUUUUCUGGAGAGGAAGGAAGGGAGUGGAAGGGAACACCAAGAUGAGAUGGCUCUCUAGCCUUCUUCUCUUACUGAUGCUUUGACCUGAGGGUGCUCCUCUGCAAUCUACCAAGGUGCACAAUUUGUAAAAUUACCUACUGCCUCCAAUUCCAGCCUUCUCCCAUCCAUGGGAUUCUCCCUCCUGUUCUGUCUGGGGCCUUAUCUGAUACUGGCAGGACCAUUCCCUCGUGUGUUCAGUUAUGAAGCUGCUCCAGGAUAUUAAAACUUCUGCACUGCGAAGUUUUGAGCUGUCAGAGGAGCACAUUCCAGUGGUUCCAUCAUGCAGGCUUUGCUGCAGAUAAAAGAAUGGGAAAACAAACCUUAGUGCUGGAGCCCUGUGGCUCUGGUUCAGAGUCCUUCACACAACUGUUUGGGGUGACCCCUGUGCUGUGUUCUGACCUCCUGCAAGCAGCUGCUGGAAGAAUCACUCCCAUUCCCUGAGCUCACAGACUGGAGUAAUUUGCUGAUGUUGUACAAGGAAUUCUCUCCUGGAGACCUGGCUGGUGUGAUCAGAACUCACAUAUGGUAUCAGAACAAAGGGCCCUUCAGGCAAGUGGUUCUGUUUAUUUUGGCUCAGGUCGAUGUUGCUCCCCUCUCCCUGUGUCUUCUCCUCCCUGUGUGCUGUGCUCAUCUUUUUUCCUCUGACUUUGGAGCUCCUUGCUGUCAGAUCUAGGGUGGCCUGGCUUGUGCAGCAUCAGCACCACAGAUUUGAGGGGUGUGGGAGAAAAGUGUCCAACACACUGCUUGUAGUUAACAUGCUGUGAAGCCUUGCUUCCCUUUUCUCCUCCUUCCUUUUCACAACCUGGAGGCCAAGCAAAGAAACAAGUCUAAGGCUUCCUCUCUGCUCCCCCUCCUUUUCUGGUUAAAGAUAUUGUGAGUGGUUCGUGUGGACUCCUGUUUUUCAUAAACACUCUUGGUUCCACCAUCUACUAAUAAGUCUAAUCCUAAUAGCAGUUAUUGGCCUUGACUUAUUCCUUAUUUGCUUUGUAACAGCUGCUGGCAAAGCUGCUGCUCUCCUGAUGAAUUUUGUUGGUCUAAUUUUUGAUAGCACACUUACAGCCAAGGCCGACAGCCUGUUAGAAAAACCAGUGUCAUCUCUGCAUUUAAUACUCUGCCCCCAGCUCUUAUUUCAGCUAAGUAUUAAACAUCGCUCACAACGUUGCAAAAAUCAGUUGCAGUUUGCAAUAUUAGGAGGAAAAAAAAAUCACAGGAAGUAGUGGAUGAAAAGGUAAGUACUGAA